GAUGAACGCUGGCGGCGUGCCUAAUACAUGCAAGUCGAGCGAACGGACGAGAAGCUUGCUUUUCUGAUGUUAGCGGCGGACGGGUGAGUAACACGUGGAUAACCCACCUAUAAGACUGGGAUAACUUCGGGAAACCGGAGCUAAUACCGGAUAAUAUUUUGAACCGCAUGGUUCAAAAGUGAAAGACGGUCUUGCUGUCACUUAUAGAUGGAUCCGCGCUGCAUUAGCUAGUUGGUAAGGUAACGGCUUACCAAGGCAACGAUGCAUAGCCGACCUGAGGGGGUGAUCGGCCACACUGGAACUGAGACACGGUCCAGACUCCUACGGGAGGCAGCAGUAGGGAAUCUUCCGCAAUGGGCGAAAGCCUGACGGAGCAACGCCGCGUGAGUGAUGAAGGUCUUCGGAUCGUAAAACUCUGUUAUUAGGGAAGAACAUAUGUGUAAGUAACUGUGCACAUCUUGACGGUACCUAAUCAGAAAGCCACGGCUAACUACGUG
RNAcentral lists this ribosomal RNA (497 nucleotides) under uncultured bacterium. RNAcentral describes it as "partial 16S ribosomal RNA". It matches the Rfam family "Bacterial small subunit ribosomal RNA", at positions 28 to 507 of the family's 1533-position model. The record is from RNAcentral.